GAUCCUGGCUCAGGAUGAACGCUAGCUACAGGCUUAACACAUGCAAGUCGAGGGGCAGCAUUUUAGUUUGCUUGCAAACUAAAGAUGGCGACCGGCGCACGGGUGAGUAACACGUAUCCAACCUGCCGAUAACUCUGGGAUAGCCUUUCGAAAGAAAGAUUAAUACCGGAUGGCAUAGGAUUAUCGCAUGAUAAUCCUAUUAAAGAAUUUCGGUUUAUCGAUGGGGAGUGCGUUCCAUUAGG
This 242-nucleotide ribosomal RNA is filed under the name uncultured bacterium. RNAcentral's name for it is "partial 16S ribosomal RNA". It matches the Rfam family "Bacterial small subunit ribosomal RNA", at positions 15 to 245 of the family's 1533-position model. The record is from RNAcentral.